GUUUGCCUUGCCAUUGACCGCGUUAUCUUGUGAGGAAUGUAUAAAUUCCCUUCCAAGUCCGUUCUGUGUUUUUGUUUUAUUAUUUUCUGGUCUGUAUCGAUCUGAAGACUUAAGCUGUUUUAAACGGAUUUUAUAGUGUUUUUUUGUUUGUUGUACUGUAACAACUCUUUCCAAUGCUAUGGGGAGAAGUGGCGCCCGUAACCAUGCUUAACUCCACCAUAUUCCUUAUGUGCCUUUUCCGAGACAGUAGCCUGUAGUUCAGUUGUUGUCGUUGGUUUAAGUCUGUCAUAUUUGUUUUUCGUAAAAUGUUGUGUUAUGCAUACAUUAGAAAGCUACUUCAUUUGAACUUUGGUGGAUAGUUGUCUCAUACCACAUCUUCUUUUUAUAUAUACGGUAUGGGUUUUCUUAUGAUUGAAGGCUGUACGUUUGUCUUAAAUUGCUAACAUUUACUUUAUUUGAACUUUGGUGGAUAGUUGUCUCAUUGGCAUUCAUACUAGAUCAACCUUUUCUAUAUAAGAUAUCAACACUUAAAAAUACUUCGUCAAAUGAAACAGGAACAUUAUAUUUAAUAAACUAAAGCUAUAGAAAUAGGUAUCAAAUCAGUUCUAUAAAGCAAUCAAAAUCAACUUGGUAUUUUUUUUAAUAUAGCAUGUAAGAAAUUAAAUGAAUGUUUUUUUUAGUAUUUUGUUUCAUAUGAUCUCAACCACUGAAAUUAUUUUGGUCACAUUCUUGGAAAAAAUAAACAGUAUUGUUGUGACGACAAUUUGGACAUAUCUGUCUUCAUCUGUAAAACAGAUAUAUUCCUGAAGAGUCAACCAACUCACGCUUGCUAUGUAAAAUUUACGAAAGGAAAAUUUCAACUUCACCGCUACUCUACAUCUACAUCUAUACUAUUUGAAUAUUUGGUUUAAGAACUUCAUUGUGGGCCGUUACCCCUUUUUAAGGAAAGCAUUUUAUAAAAUACAAUCCUUUCUUAUCAAUGGUUUGAGUAUUCUUUGCUUAUUAUUACUAUUGAGAUACUAAACCUAUUAACAUAUGCAUUCUUUCUCCCCUAGAAUGGUGGUUGACUGUAACAGAUCGAAUAUUUGCGGGAAAUGAGAUUCUAUUCAAAUUAACAGCCAUACAUUUAUCUAAAAGAUUAUAGUCAUAUGUAUUCUUACUCCCAUGUCCCGGUUGAAUUCAUUGCUAUAUAAUUCUUCCGAGACUACCUGUUCGACAUCGAAACUACAUGAUGCAUUGCUGUAGCAUAAAAUGUCCCGAGAAUUUUACACUUUUGCCAAAGGUUAAGUAUAUAUUGAUUGAUAUAUCAGCGUUUAAAUCAUGUUGACUAAAUGCAUUGUACACAAUACUCCUUUUUCUGAAUCAAUCAUCAAUACCCCUGUAAUAGCCAUAGAGGUUCCACUUUGUAAAUACAGCUGUUUCUCAAACCACGCCUCUUUUUGGGAGAUCUAGAAUAUUCAUAGAAAAUUAAUUUUGUUUACAUACUGGUUCCCAGUUCUGAUCUGUAUGUUGUAUCUCAUAGAGACAUACCUUAGGAAUGUUAUCAGUAAAUAUACAUGUGCAUAUUGUUUAUAUUGAAAUAUGUGAUAGCCCUUCAUUUGGGGUAGGGGUAGUUAAGAAAAUUAGUUUUAGUUAAAAUUUGAGAAGUUCAGGGCGCAAAAAUGUUGAAAAUAUGCCGCACAGCCCUAUAUUUUGACCUUUGAAAAAAUUGUAGUGGAUAUGAAAUUCUAGGAUAAGAUUUUUUUCAAAACUUCAUAAAGUGUACAGUUUUAGCCGAAAAGGAGUUCCUAUGGGACAUUGCAUUGUCAAUAUUUACAGAAACCUAUUAUUGGGUGUAAAAAGAGAACAUUCAGAAUGUAACCAAAUUUGAUUUAUCUCACAGAUUUACUAUUAACUUAAAUAUGAAGUUUUAUAAAUAUGUCAUGAAGAUUGAUAGAAUCCUCGGCCUUAAAUAUGAUGACUCAGCAUAAAUUUACAGUACAGUAUGCAUAGUUUACUCAAAAGUCCUGAAUUCAAAAUUAAAUCAAAAUAUUUGCAUAUAUGUAAGUUAAAUUGUGGAGAAGUGCUUAUAUUUACUCUUCGCAGUCAUUGAAACUCAUAGAUCCUUCCUGAAUAUUAUUUAUGGGGUCUUUGUGUCCUGUCGAUAACCCAAAAGUAGGCCGUAACACCUAAAUCUGCUUUUUGUCACCACAGCAUAAAAAAUACCAGCUAGAAAUACAAAAAUAUGUCAACAAAAAUUACAAUAGUGUGUUCUAUCCUGAAUACGUACUAAAUAUUCCAAAUUGCUAGAAACAGCAGAAUAAUUUAGGAAAUUUGAGGCCCCAGGGGGACAAAAAACAUAGAAAAUUGCCUACCCCCUGAGGUCAUAAAACAAAUAAUUUAACCUGUAAAUGCUAUGAUUUUAUGAUUUUAAAGUUCCUGAUAUAGAAAACCAUAACCAUGCUUGGAAGUUAUGCAAAAAUCAGAUGUUAGCGGUAUCUCUAUAACAUUUUAAGUGAAUUUACCUCAGACUGGUAUCUGCAUACAUACAACUAUUGCAAAUAUGGCUUUGUUUGGACACUUCUAGUAUAUAUAUUAGCUAAUUUGUGUCAGAUAUAUGGUUACAGAUGAUACUGUUGUGACAAGAUUCUAAAUUGACCAUUAGAGGCAGAAAAUGUGAACUUUAAUUGACAAAUAGGCAUAUAGUAAGAUGUGGACUGGAAACAGAGUCAGGAUUGGAUAUUUUAUAUUCUCUUGAGAGUUGUAAUGAUUGACUGCUAAACAUUACAUUUAUAGUAUUCUGAUAUGCUUUCAAUAUGUUAUCAAAACAGUUUUAAACAGGUUCUAAGCAUUCUUAUUAGAAAAUAUGCAAAUAGAGCAAGCUGGCCAAUUCUUUAAAAAAUUGAAACAAGGGAGGGGUUUAAAUAUGUACAGUAAAGAAAAACGUAGAGUAUACACAGUGAUUUCUAUAAGGCUAUUAUUCUGAUAAAUGAGUAUUAAUGUGAGAAAAAACUGAUUUUAGAGAUUUUUCUAUUUGAAUAAAUGUUUGUAUAGGUUGCACUUCGUAAAUACAGCUGUUUCUCAAACCACGACUUUUUGGGGGAGAUCUAGAAUAGUCAUAGAAAAUUAGUUUUGUUUACAUACUGGUUCCCAGUUAUGAUCUGUAUGUUGCAUCGCAUAGAGACAUAACUUGGGAAUGUUACCAGUAAAUAUAAAUGUGCAUAUUGUUUAUAUUGAAAUACGUGGUAACCCUUCAUUCGAGGUAGGGAUAGUUAAGAAAUUUUUUGAAUUUUGUUUAGUGCAUAUGAACUUUCAAUUCUAGGAUAUGAUUUUUUUCAAAACUUCAUAGUAAAAGUGGUACAGUUUCAGCCGUAAAAGGUUUUCCUAUGGGAAAUUGCAUUGUCAAUAUUUACAGAAAUGCA
This 3401-nucleotide long non-coding RNA is filed under the name Mytilus galloprovincialis (Mediterranean mussel). The record is from RNAcentral. Lineage: Eukaryota; Metazoa; Mollusca; Bivalvia; Mytilida; Mytilidae.